Molecule: long non-coding RNA, 1323 nt
Filed under: Homo sapiens (human)
Lineage: Eukaryota; Metazoa; Chordata; Mammalia; Primates; Hominidae
Description: HSALNT0008121
Source: RNAcentral
CUCACUGAUGUUUCCCUCCAACCCCUGGUAAACUCUCACUGAAUGAAGAAAGCUCUCUGAAAACGUCAUAUAUAAGCUCUGGAAUUUUCACAAAUGCCCACAACAGAGUCACAAUGAUCAAUGGAAAAAUACUCCCUCAUUAAUGCCACAUACCAGCAUUAUCAACCACCUAAAAGAUGAAUGAUUUAGACCCCAAUUAAACACCAUGAAAAGCAUAUGUUACAGAGAAUCAAGCAGAACUCUACAGAGAAUGUGGUGAUGGCGUUCAGGACACACCACCCCAAAUAUGGCACUUUAUAUUUGCCAGUGGUUAGCCUCCAGUUAAAUGUGCAUGCUAGAGAAGACCCUUACAGAACAUGGCCUCACAGUUCACAAUUUAUGAAGGGAUUGUGUUGCGCAAGUUCACUUGGAGAAAAAUGAACCAUGACAGAGAGAAAACAGCUGAACCCAGAACCCAAGAUGUAGCCAUGCCAAUCAGUGGGGGAGAAACAGAUCAAGGAGUGGCAAAGCUUGGAUCUGACUUCUCCAAUUGUUUUGGAAAUAUGAAACAAUUGGAGAUCUGAAGCUUCAAAACUCCUACCAACCACCAUCUCCUUCGUGAAGCCUUCCCUGCCCACCCCAGAUAGGAGGAAUGAAUGAACACCAGUAGUCUGCUGGCCUGCCUGGUCUGCCUGGUGUCUGGCAUCCAGAGACUUUUCCUGGCUGACCUUUUGGAGAAUGUCCAACAUUGAGAAAAUGGAAUCCAAAAGAAGACACAGAACCGGGCUCCAUGUUUUCAGAGACUGCACCACAUUGGUCAUUGGAGUUAAAUGUGUUCAUAUCCAUCGGCUCUGUGCUCUGUCACGCAAAAUAUUAAAAUGAAAUGCUAGGAGAACAGUUUGAAGCAAUCCUUCCUGUUCUUGAAACUCACCUUUAGCUGCUGAGAACGCUGGUAAUCCCUUUGUAGCUUACUGGGGGCACAUUUAUCAGUGAGGCAGCUAAGCCAAUUGUAGCUGCAUUCACAGGUGACCGUGCUGUCUGCCUGCCUUCCCAGAGAUACAAGAAACAAAACCAAACUGAUAGAGAGGAUCUGGCAUUGCAAAUUCACCCAAGAGAGGAGCCCAGGCCAGACUUCUGUUUUUAUGGACAGGAACAUUCGGUCCUCAGCAGACUUGCCUCUGAAUUCACAGGCUCCUCUUACAAUGCAAGCCACAAUUCUGAAAAAUAAAAGGGGAUCUCAAGCAGAAAAAGAGAUUACAAAUAAGGAUCAUUCAACAACAAUAACCAAAACAUAAACCCUGGCAACCACUGUGCUAAGCAGCCCUGGCGGAUGCCAGUCUUGCC